RNAcentral lists this unclassified non-coding RNA (337 nucleotides) under soil metagenome. RNAcentral's name for it is "partial contains 5.8S ribosomal RNA, internal transcribed spacer 2, and large subunit ribosomal RNA". The stretch from base 1 to 120 matches the Rfam family "5.8S ribosomal RNA", at positions 35 to 154 of the family's 154-position model. The record is from RNAcentral.
GAUGAAGAACGCAGCGAAAUGCGAUAAGUAAUGUGAAUUGCAGAAUUCCGUGAAUCAUCGAAUCUUUGAACGCACAUUGCGCCCCCUGGCAUUCCGGGGGGCAUGCCUGUCCGAGCGUCAUUUCUGCCCUCAAGCACGGCUUGUGUGUUGGGUGUGGUCCCCCCGGGGACCUGCCCGAAAGGCAGCGGCGACGUCCGUCUGGUCCUCGAGCGUAUGGGGCUCUGUCACUCGCUCGGGAAGGACCUGCGGGGUUUGGUCACCACUAUAUUUUACCACGGUUGACCUCGGAUCAGGUAGGAGUUACCCGCUGAACUUAAGCAUAUCAAUAAGCGGAGGA